RNAcentral lists this long non-coding RNA (2388 nucleotides) under Mus musculus (house mouse). Its description in RNAcentral is "long non-coding RNA chr1:93531814-93534202". The record is from RNAcentral. Lineage: Eukaryota; Metazoa; Chordata; Mammalia; Rodentia; Muridae.
CUAUAACUCUGGCUGGCCUAGAGCUCACUAUAUAGACCAGGUUGGCCUUGAACUCGAAGGCCUGCCUGCCUCCUGAGUGCUGGGACAAAAGUUAUGCAUCCCUGCAGCCUGGUCAUUUGCUUUUCAUUUAUUCUGUUGGUAUUAUGAAUUAUAUUGCAUAGUUUUAAAAUAUUAAAUCAAUAUUUUGUGUUUUACCUGUAUGACUGAAUCUAUUAUAUCAGUCUUCUGGAGGAGUUCUGCCACAAAGCUUAUAAGGGAAUACUUGCUCUGUACCUUUCUUAUAAUGCCAUGGCCUAGUUUUGGUAUUUGGCUAAUUCUAGGCUGGGUAACUGAUUUAGUCUUCUUAUUUCCCUCAGUUGCUGUUUAGAAUCCAGCCAUGCUUUGCUGGUCAGAGUUUUUACAUACCAGUUACAUAUCAGGAGGACCCAUGCUAGUUUUAACUGGCCUUUCAUCAUUGCCCUUCUAGCCAACCUAUCUCCAAGAGCUGAAGGCUGCAGCUUCAAGGCAUGCUUCACCUGUUCACUUCUCAGUCUUUGCCAUCACACCAGUCAUCUAGUCGCAGCCUUUCAAUGGCUUCUUCUUGUCUUCUUGCUCGUGGGAUAUAAUAUAGAUUUCCUAACAUAGUCUGUGAAGCUGUGUGAUCUCAGAGUGCCCUCCUCUUGGGAUUUGGGGUUUUGUUUUGUUGUUGGUUGUGUGUGUUUGUUUGUUAUUUUUUAGUUUUUUCUCUAUGUAACCAUGGUCUUGAACUCACAGAGAUCUGCUUCUGCUUCCUGAGCACUGGGAUUAAAGGUAUGCACCACCACUGCCCAGCUCAUAUUAUAACCUCAAACACCAGCAUCCUGGAAUCCCCAGCCUUUCAUGCCUCACUUCACUGGCUAGUUUUUGUCAACCUGACACAAGCUAGAGUCAUCCGAGAAGAGGGAAUCUCAGUUGAGAGAAUGCCCCCACAAGGUUGGCCUGUGAGCAAGCCUGUGGUACAUUUUCUUGAUUAAUGAUUUAUGUAGGUGGACACAUGCCAUUGUGGAUAGUGUCACCCCUGAGUAGAAGGUCCUGAGUCAUUUGUAUAGGCUGAGCAAACCAUGAGGAGCAAGCUGGUAAGCAGUGUUCCUCCAUUGCCUUUGCUUCAGUUUCUGCUUUGAGUUCUUGCCCUGGCUUCUGGGUGAUGGAUUGACUGUAAGCUGUAAGGUGAAAUAGACUCUUUCCUCCCAAGUUGCUUUUGGUCAUGUUGUUGUUUUUUUUUUUUUUUUCACAGCAAUAAGCUAAUAAGCUCACACAUUCCUGUUUCUUUCAACACUCAUUAUGUAGCUAAGUCUUACUUAUCUCUCAGGACUCUGCAAAAAUGUCAUUUCCUUUAGGUGGCUUCCUCUGAAACUUGUCUUAGUUAGGAUUUUACUGCUGUGAACAGAUACCAUGAUCAAGGCAAGUCUUAUAAAUGGCAACAUUUAAUUGGGGCUGGGUUUCAGGUUCAGAGGUUCAGUCCAUUGUCAUCAAGGCAGAAGCAUGGCAGCAUCCAAGCAGGCAUGGUGCAGGAGGAGCUGAGCCUUCUACAUCUUUAUCCAAAGGAAGCCAGGAACAGACUGGGCAUCCUUAGGCAUCUAGGAGGAAGAUCUCCAAGCCCAUCCCCACAGUGACACACUUCCUCCAACAAGGCCACACCUUCUAAUCAUGCCACUCCCUGGGACGAACAUAUACAAACCAUCAUAAACCCUCAUCAGAAUAUCCCUUCCUCUUCAUUAUUAUAUCUAAGAUUAGACACAUACAAUAUAUUAAAAACUAUAUAUUAUUUAUAACAUAUAUAUUCAUUCUUGAUAUUUAUGUAUGUGGUAUUGUUUGUACAAGGUCAGUCAGUGGCUGCUUUUUUAAUCUGGAGGACUCUCAUUUGUCUCAGUUAAUUGAAUGAGAUAUAUAGUUGUAAACACUGAAGUCAACCUCCACUAUAAAGAGUCUUAGUUUUGAGCCUUAAGUUUAUUUUAUUUAUUAAUUUAAAAAUUUUAAAAUUUAUUUUAUCUUGUUUUUGAGACAGGGUUUUUCUGUGUAGCCCUACCUGUCCUAUAAGUAGCUCUGUUGACUAGGCUGGCCACAAACUCAGAAAUCUCUGAGUACUCUGCCUCUGCCUCUGAGUACUGGGAUUAAAGGUGUGUGCCACUAUAUCCAGCCUUAAAUUUACUUUAAAACUGGGCUGUAACUUCAAUUUUUUUAAAAAAACCUAUUUUUAAUGAUGGUUCUUAAACACUCUAACCUCCCUUGUAGCCCACCACCCACCAGAGGUAGUGGCAAAGAAAGGAUAACAGGGGAAGUAGACCUAUUUAGAAAGGUUCUUUAGAGCAAAUCCCAUCUGUGUCUUGUAGAAAUCAGUUCACAGGUCGGCAACAGCAGCUCAAUCCACUC